GUUGUAUUGAUGUAUUUUAGCAUAUAAACUUUUCGUGUUUAAUGAGGCUUUUAGCCAUAUAAUU
Molecule: transfer RNA, 64 nt
Filed under: Paragyrodactylus variegatus
Lineage: Eukaryota; Metazoa; Platyhelminthes; Monogenea; Gyrodactylidea; Gyrodactylidae
Description: tRNA-Glu
Source: RNAcentral